RNAcentral lists this small RNA (523 nucleotides) under Pan troglodytes (chimpanzee). RNAcentral describes it as "retained intron". Lineage: Eukaryota; Metazoa; Chordata; Mammalia; Primates; Hominidae. The record is from RNAcentral.
AUAGAGCACACUGGGGCCCAGAAGAGGAGAAAGUGCCUGGUUGGGGUGCAGAGAGGGUGCCAGAGUCCAGGGCGGGGGUUCCACUGGAGGGAAGGGGUCCGAAUCGCCAGGAUGGGGCUCCCAGCACCAGACGGAGACCUCUCUGCACGCGCUUAGGGCCCUGGAUCUGGAAGCCGGGAAGGGGUGGGGGUGGGAACUUAUCCGUCUCUCCCCACACAAGCACAGCCCUCCCCCGCGGCCUCUGCUUCCGCGUCCCUGUGUCGUCUCCGCGGAGUCUCAUGCUCUUCCUUCCUCCCCCCAGCCGGCUCAGUUCGGGGAAGCUGCAGGAGUUCGGCGUGGGUGAUGGCAGCAAGCUGACCUUGGUACCCACCGUGGAAGCGGGCCUCAUGUCUCAGGCCUCAAGGCCGGAACAGUCCGUGAUGCAAGCCCUCGAGAGUCUCACGGAGACGCAGGUCAGUGACUUCCUGUCGGGCCGUUCGCCACUGACACUGGCCUUGCGUGUGGGCGACCACAUGAUGUUCGU